Molecule: ribosomal RNA, 417 nt
Filed under: Voragocoris sp. UCR ENT 00082340
Lineage: Eukaryota; Metazoa; Arthropoda; Insecta; Hemiptera; Schizopteridae
Description: partial large subunit ribosomal RNA
Source: RNAcentral
GUCUUUAUGAUAUUUAUUUAAAGUUUGGCCUGCCCAAUGAUUUAAAAUUUAAUGGCUGCAGUAUUUUAACUGUACGAAGGUAGCAUAAUCAUUUGUUCAAUAAUUAUGGACUAGAAUGAAGGGUUUGAUAAGAAUUUAUCUUUCUUAUUUAUAUAAAUAAGAAAUUAUUUUUUUAGUUAAAAAACUUAAAUUUUUUUAUGGGACGAGAAGACCCUAUAGAGCUUUAUAUAUAUUAAUAUAUUUACAAAUAUAUUAAUAUAUUAAAUUGGGGUGAUUUAAAUUUUUUAUUAACAAUUUUUUUUUAUAUCAUUGGUUUUUGAUUUUUUGAUCCAUUUAUUUUGAUUAUAAGAUUAAGUUACCUUAGGGAUAACAGCGUAAUUUAAUUGGAGAGUUCUUAUCGAUAAUUUAAGUUUGCGA